Bos taurus (domestic cattle) is the source of this 1767-nucleotide long non-coding RNA. Lineage: Eukaryota; Metazoa; Chordata; Mammalia; Artiodactyla; Bovidae. The record is from Ensembl.
GUGCUGUAAUUCAGGGUUGCAGUUGAGAGCAGGGGCUUUGAAUCUGGCAGGCCUGGGGUGUAAAUCUGGGCUAUGCCAGUUGGAAAUGUGUGACCUUGGGCAAGAGAUGUAACCUCUGUGGCCCCAGUUUUCUCAGCUGUGAAGCAAAGAGGAUAACAGUUGCAAUAUGGUAAAGAUUUUGAAGAUCUAAUUCGUGUAAAGUGCUUUGUAUAAAGCCUGAUAGAGAGGCUGCUGCUGCUGCUGCUAAGUCACUUCAGUCCUGUCCGACUCUGUGUGACCCCAUAGACGGCAGCCCACCAGGCUCCCCCAUCCCUGGGAUUCUCCAGCUUGCUGCGAGCCUGGCACGGGCCUGACCUCCUUCCUUCCCAAGAGGAAAGGGAGGGCCACCACCUACCCAGGCAGGAUGUGGGGGAGAAACCUGACAUCCUUCGCAGACCUGCUCGCUCGCCCCCGAACCUGCCCUCAUCGGCUCCACCUGCUCUCCUGAAGGUAGCCUGGACUCAGCGCUCUGAGAGGCGUCCUGCAGAGCGCGCGGAAAAUGUGGCUUUUGCAGGGCUGGGUCUGUCCACCUACUGCAGUGCCCAAAGUCCGAUGCCCUCCACAGUUUGGCCAAAUCUACUUUGCCGGCCUCGUCUCCGCGAUUUCCUCCCUGGGGUAGACUAGGGUUAGAGCCGGACGGGUGGGGAGCCGAGGCAAACAAACAACUCUGGGCGUGUCAGCCCCGCCCCGACCAGGGCACUGCCGAGUCGGGAUUGGCUGAUGUCGCCUGUAUUCUGGUUGGUCGGGGGAGGGUGCUCAUUCACAGGGAGCGCUGCUCCACUCGGGCUGGAAGUUUCCUACGCUGCUUCGCUUUCUGCACUCUGCACAAAAGUUGUACCACCUUGUAUGUAAACAGAUAAAAUCAAGUUAUCUAAUGUGCCUCCGAAUAUAACGUUGGCCCCUUGAAGGAUGGCCGAAUCUGUCAGCUUGCUGUAUCCUAUUUCUAAAUCACACACGUGAGGGUGAGUGGGGAGAGGCUUGCGGGAAGAUGCUGGGGGCUGCGGUUUGUCUCCCCCGGGGGAGGCUAUGGCUUACCUGGGGGCCGUUUGUUGGGUUAGCUUUUCAGAAGACGCAUUUCCCCUUUCUAUCAUCUACACUUACACUUCACAUUUCCCUGCCUUCUGUCGUGCUGUUCCACAUGGUAGGGGUGCUUUUCCUUCUCAUUUAUUUUUGUUGCUCUUGUUGGUUUUUUUUUCAACUUUUUAUUUUGUAUUUGAGUAUAGCCGAUUAACGGGCUUUCCCGGUGGUUCAGCGGUGAAGAAACAGCCUGCAAGGCAGGAUGACCCAGGAGAUGCGGGUUGGAUCUCUGGAUUGGGAAGAUCCCUUGGAGUAGGGCAUGGCAACCCACUCCAGUAUUCUUGCCUGAAGAAUCGCAUGGUCUGAGGAGACUGGUGGACUACAGUCCUUAAGAGUUGCAGCACGACUUAAAGACGCAGUAGGGCACGACUGAAACGAUGCAGCUCGCAGGCACACAUAGCCCUGUCACAAUGUCUUGAUGGUUUCCGGUGAAAAGCAAAGGGACUCAGCUAUACAUAUUCCCCAAACAUCCUUCCCACCCAGAUGGGCACAAAACAUUGAGUAGAGUUCCAUGUGCUAUACAAUAGGUCCUUAUUGGUUAUUUAUUUUGAAUACAUAAGUGUACAUGACCUUCCCAAACUCCCUAACUAUUCCUCCCCUCCCGCAGCCAUAAAUUCCUAUUCUAAGUCUGUGUCCUUUUCUCUGUUUUGU